RNAcentral lists this ribosomal RNA (504 nucleotides) under uncultured bacterium. RNAcentral's name for it is "partial 16S ribosomal RNA". It matches the Rfam family "Bacterial small subunit ribosomal RNA", at positions 30 to 523 of the family's 1533-position model. The record is from RNAcentral.
AUUGAACGCUGGCGGCAGGCCUAACACAUGCAAGUCGAACGGUAGCACAGAGAGCUUGCUCUCGGGUGACGAGUGGCGGACGGGUGAGUAACGUCUGGGAAACUGCCCGAUGGAGGGGGAUAACUACUGGAAACGGUAGCUAAUACCGCAUAACGUCGCAAGACCAAAGUGGGGGACCUUCGGGCCUCACACCAUCGGAUGUGCCCAGAUGGGAUUAGCUAGUAGGUGGGGUAAUGGCUCACCUAGGCGACGAUCCCUAGCUGGUCUGAGAGGAUGACCAGCCACACUGGACAUGAGACACGGUCCAGACUCCUACGGGAGGCAGCAGUGGGGAAUAUUGCACAAUGGGCGCAAGCCUGAUGCAGCCAUGCCGCGUGUAUGAAGAAGGCCUUCGGGUUGUAAAGUACUUUCAGCGGGGAGGAAGGCGGUGAAGUUAAUAACUUCACCGAUUGACGUUACCCGCAGAAGAAGCACCGGCUAACUCCGUGCCAGCCGCCGCCGUAA